This 293-nucleotide ribosomal RNA is filed under the name uncultured bacterium. RNAcentral's name for it is "partial 16S ribosomal RNA". It matches the Rfam family "Archaeal small subunit ribosomal RNA", at positions 455 to 747 of the family's 1478-position model. The record is from RNAcentral.
GUGCCAGCCACCGCGGUAAUACCGGCAGCUCGGGUGAUGUCCAAUAUUAUUGGGCCUAAAGCGUCCGUAGCUGGCCGCGCAAGUCCGUCGGGAAAUCCACCUGCCCAACAGGUGGGCGUCCGGCGGAAACUGUGUGGCUUGGAACCGGAAGGCUCAGAGGGUACGUCCGGGGUAGGAGUGAAAUCCCGUAAUCCCGCACGGACCACCGAUGGCGAAAGCACCUCGAGAAGACGGCUCCGACGGUGAGGGACGAAAGCCAGGGUCUCGAACCGGAUUAGAAACCCCGGUAGUCC